ACGGAUGUUUGAGCAUGUGCUA
RNAcentral lists this microRNA (22 nucleotides) under Macaca mulatta (Rhesus monkey). RNAcentral's name for it is "mml-miR-105-3p". Its record names the gene mml-miR-105-3p. Lineage: Eukaryota; Metazoa; Chordata; Mammalia; Primates; Cercopithecidae. The record is from miRBase by way of RNAcentral. RNAcentral also lists the same sequence under 1 other name.